AGGAAGGUAGUGUAGUUAACACCUGCAUUAUUUGACGUUACCUACAGAAGAAGCACCGGCUAACUCCGUGCCAGCAGCCGCGGUAAUACGGAGGGUGCGAGCGUUAAUCGGAAUUACUGGGCGUAAAGCGCAUGCAGGCGGCCUGUUAAGUCAGAUGUAGAAAGGACCCGGGGCGUUAACCUACGGUAAGUUGCAUUUAGUAAACGUGGCGAGGCUAGAGUCUUGUAGAGGGGGGUAGGAAUUUCAGGUGUAGCGGUGAAAUGCGUAGAGAUCUGAAGGAAUACCAGUGGCGAAGGCGGCCCCCUGGACAAAGACUGACGCUCAGAUGCGAAAGCGUGGGGAGCAAACAGGAUUAGAUACCCUGGUAG
Molecule: ribosomal RNA, 368 nt
Filed under: uncultured bacterium
Lineage: Bacteria
Description: bacterial SSU rRNA
Rfam family: Bacterial small subunit ribosomal RNA
Source: RNAcentral